This 468-nucleotide ribosomal RNA is filed under the name uncultured bacterium. RNAcentral's name for it is "partial 16S ribosomal RNA". It matches the Rfam family "Bacterial small subunit ribosomal RNA", at positions 28 to 507 of the family's 1533-position model. The record is from RNAcentral.
GACGAACGCUGGCGGCGUGCUUAACACAUGCAAGUCGAACGGAAAGACCCUGCUUUUUUGCUGUUCUCGAGUGGCGAACGCGUAAGUAACACGUGUGUAACCUGCCCUUCACUUUCGGAUAACUUCACGUAACUGGGGCUAAUACCAUAUAGGAGCUCCUGCUGCAUUGUGGGGGUUGGAAAGUUUCGGCGGUUGUGGAUGUACGGGCGGCUUAUCGGCUUGCUGGUGGGCUAGUUGCUUACCAAGGCUUUGACGGGUCGCCGGCCUGAGAGGGUGACCGGGGACCAUGGGACUGAGAUACGGACCAGACUGCAACGGGGGGCAGCAGGGGGGAAUAUGGCCCAAUGGGACGGAGCGUGAGGAAGAGACGCCGCGUGCGGAAUGACGGCCUUUGGGUUGUGAAAAGCAUUCGCCUGUGACGACGCGUGAGUGACGGUAAUGAGUAAAGAAGCACCGGCUAACUACGUG